RNAcentral lists this ribosomal RNA (506 nucleotides) under uncultured bacterium. RNAcentral describes it as "partial 16S ribosomal RNA". It matches the Rfam family "Bacterial small subunit ribosomal RNA", at positions 29 to 523 of the family's 1533-position model. The record is from RNAcentral.
AGUGAACGCUGGCGGCAGGCCUAACACAUGCAAGUCGAACGGCAGCACAGUGGAGCUUGCUCCAUGGGUGGCGAGUGGCGGACGGGUGAGGAAUACAUCGGAAUCUGCCCAGUCGUGGGGGAUAACAUAGGGAAACUUAUGCUAAUACCGCAUACGACCUACGGGUGAAAGCGGGGGAUCGCAAGACCUCGCGCGAUUGGAUGAGCCGAUGUCCGAUUAGCUAGUUGGCGGGGUAAUGGCCCACCAUGGCGACGAUCGGUAGCUGGUCUGAGAGGAUGAUCAGCCACACUGGAACUGAGCCACGGUCCAGACUCCUACGGGAGGCAGCAGUGGGGAAUAUUGGACAAUGGGCGCAAGCCUGAUCCAGCCAUGCCGCGUGGGUGAAGAAGGCCUUCGGGUUGUAAAGCCCUUUUGUCCGGAAAGAAACGCCUCGGAUUAAUACUCUGGGGUAAUGACGGUACCGGAAGAAUAAGCACCGGCUAACUUCGUGCCAGCCGCCGCCGUAA